RNAcentral lists this ribosomal RNA (366 nucleotides) under Scomberomorus guttatus (Indo-Pacific king mackerel). RNAcentral's name for it is "partial 12S ribosomal RNA". It matches the Rfam family "Bacterial small subunit ribosomal RNA", at positions 1019 to 1533 of the family's 1533-position model. Lineage: Eukaryota; Metazoa; Chordata; Actinopteri; Scombriformes; Scombridae. The record is from RNAcentral.
CCCUCCCUUGUUUCUCCCGCCUAUAUACCGCCGUCCGUAAGCUUACCCUGUGAAGGCCUCAUAGUAAGCUAAAUUGGCACCACCCAAAACGUCAGGUCGAGGUGUAGCACAUGAGAGGGGAAGAGAUGGGCUACAUUCGCUAAUCUAGCGAAUACGAAUGAUUUGUACUGAAAAUGUACAUCUGAAGGAGGAUUUAGCAGUAAGUGGGAAACAGAGUGUUCCACUGAAGCCGGCUCUGAAGUGCGUACACACCGCCCGUCACUCUCCCUAAGCCUUUUACAAAUGAUAUACAUAAAAUGCCCUAACCGCUAAGGGGAGGCAAGUCGUAACAUGGUAAGUGUACCGGAAGGUGCACUUGGAAAAAAU